UCUCAAAUGAUGGAAAAACCGUUAUUCGGAAAAGAAUGACAUGAACAAAGGACCAGUGAUGCAC
Molecule: small nucleolar RNA, 64 nt
Filed under: Dasypus novemcinctus (nine-banded armadillo)
Lineage: Eukaryota; Metazoa; Chordata; Mammalia; Cingulata; Dasypodidae
Description: Small nucleolar RNA SNORD42 (ENSDNOG00000029877.1)
Source: RNAcentral